This 544-nucleotide ribosomal RNA is filed under the name uncultured bacterium. RNAcentral's name for it is "partial 16S ribosomal RNA". It matches the Rfam family "Bacterial small subunit ribosomal RNA", at positions 355 to 887 of the family's 1533-position model. The record is from RNAcentral.
UGGGGAAUAUUGCACAAUGGGCGCAAGCCUGAUGCAGCCAUGCCGCGUGUGUGAAGAAGGCCUUCGGGUUGUAAAGCACUUUCAGCGAGGAGGAAGGUGGUGAGCUUAAUACGCUCAUCAAUUGACGUUACUCGCAGAAGAAGCACCGGCUAACUCCGUGCCAGCAGCCGCGGUAAUACGGAGGGUGCAAGCGUUAAUCGGAAUUACUGGGCGUAAAGCGCACGCAGGCGGUUUGUUAAGUCAGAUGUGAAAUCCCCCGGGCUCAACCUGGGAACUGCAUUUGAAACUGGCAAGCUAGAGUCUCGUAGAGGGGGGUAGAAUUCCAGGUGUAGCGGUGAAAUGCGUAGAGAUCUGGAGGAAUACCGGUGGCGAAGGCGGCCCCCUGGACGAAGACUGACGCUCAGGUGCGAAAGCGUGGGGCAGCAAACAGGAUUAGAUACCCUGGUAGUCCACGCUGUAAACGAUGUCGAUUUUGGAGGUUGUGCCCCUUGAGGCGUGGNUUCCGGAGCUAACGCGUUAAAUCGACCGCCUGGGGAGUACGGCC